RNAcentral lists this ribosomal RNA (319 nucleotides) under uncultured eukaryote. RNAcentral describes it as "partial 18S ribosomal RNA". It matches the Rfam family "Eukaryotic small subunit ribosomal RNA", at positions 1470 to 1796 of the family's 1831-position model. The record is from RNAcentral.
CCCUUAGAUGUUCUGGGCAGCACGCGCGCUACAAUGGUCUUCGCAAACGGAUGCAUUCUCGAAGGAGAAUGCCAAUCUUGGAAUCUAUGCCUUGGUCGGGACAGUUGCUUGCAAUUUUUCGACACGAACCAGGAAUUCCUUGUAAUCGUGAUUCAUCACAUCACGAUGAAUACGUCCCUGCCCUUUGUACACACCGCCCGUCGCUCCUACCGAUCGAAGAGUUAGGUGAAUUGUUUUGAUCGAUAAGAUUUGACUAUGGUCAACUCUCGUUGUGAAAUUCUGUGAAUCUGACUGUUUAGAGGAAGGAAAAGUCGUAACA